GACGAACGCUGGCGGCGUGCUUAACACAUGCAAGUCGAACGGCAACGCCCUGCGUGUUUGGUCUUCCCGAGUGCCGAACGGGUGCGUAACACGUGAGUAACCUGCUCUACACUUUUGGAUAACUUCAGGAAACUGGAGUUAAUAUCGUAUAGCAUCUCCUGCUCCAUGGUGGGGGUGGGAUCGUUUCGGCUGGUGGGGAUGGAUUCGCGGCUGAACAGCUUGUUGGUUGGGUAGUGGCAUACCCAGGCUUUGACGGGUAGCCGGCGUGUGUGCGUGAACGGGCACAUUAGGACUGCGAAAGGGCCCAGACUGGAACAGGAGGCAGCGGUGGGGAAUCUUGCACAAUGGGCCGGAGCCUGAUGAGGCGGCGCCGGGUGCGUGAUGCCGGCUUUCGGGUUGUGAAAAGCUUUCGCCUAUGACGAAGCGUGUGUGACGGUAAUGGGUGAAGAAGCACCGGCUAACUACGUG
Molecule: ribosomal RNA, 468 nt
Filed under: uncultured bacterium
Lineage: Bacteria
Description: partial 16S ribosomal RNA
Rfam family: Bacterial small subunit ribosomal RNA
Source: RNAcentral